Molecule: ribosomal RNA, 574 nt
Filed under: Hanseniaspora uvarum
Lineage: Eukaryota; Fungi; Ascomycota; Saccharomycetes; Saccharomycodales; Saccharomycodaceae
Description: eukaryotic LSU rRNA
Rfam family: Eukaryotic large subunit ribosomal RNA
Source: RNAcentral
ACUGGGAUUACCUUAGUAACGGCGAGUGAAGCGGUAAAAGCUCAAAUUUGAAAUCUGGUACUUUCAGUGCCCGAGUUGUAAUUUGUAGAAUUUGUCUUUGAUUAGGUCCUUGUCUAUGUUCCUUGGAACAGGACGUCAUAGAGGGUGAGAAUCCCGUUUGGCGAGGAUACCUUUUCUCUGUAAGACUUUUUCGAAGAGUCGAGUUGUUUGGGAAUGCAGCUCAAAGUGGGUGGUAAAUUCCAUCUAAAGCUAAAUAUUGGCGAGAGACCGAUAGCGAACAAGUACAGUGAUGGAAAGAUGAAAAGAACUUUGAAAAGAGAGUGAAAAAGUACGUGAAAUUGUUGAAAGGGAAGGGCAUUUGAUCAGACAUGGUGUUUUUUGCAUGCACUCGCCUCUCGUGGGCUUGGGCCUCUCAAAAAUUUCACUGGGCCAACAUCAAUUCUGGCAGCAGGAUAAAUCAUUAAGAAUGUAGCUACUUCGGUAGUGUUAUAGCUUUUUGGAAUACUGUUAGCCGGGAUUGAGGACUGCGCUUCGGCAAGGAUGUUGGCAUAAUGGUUAAAUGCCGCCCGUCUAA